This is a long non-coding RNA of Sardina pilchardus (European sardine), 524 nucleotides long. RefSeq lists it as uncharacterized. NCBI's taxonomy places the organism in Eukaryota, Metazoa, Chordata, Actinopteri, Clupeiformes, Clupeidae. The transcript has 3 exons. The record is from RefSeq and is a predicted model, not a curated record.
UCCACCAAGUACAGCCCGUACUUCCUAAUGUAUAAUAGGCACCCCCGUCUACCUGAGGCAUUGAAUGCCUGUGAGUCAGAUGCCACCUCUCUAGAGUUGGCAGACCCAGACGAGGAGAUGGAGCUGAAGGUGGCUGGGGUCAAGGCCCUCAAUGAACAGGUAAGGAAGAAUAUUGAACGGGCUCAAGCCAAACAAAAGAAGGCUUUUGAAGCAAACAAAAAAAAAAGGGGUGCGCCAGGGUUCGGUGAAGGCAGGGGAUGAGGUCCUGAUUGAGGAGCCCCCCAAAAAGAUAAGGAAGGGAAAUUGUCUGGAGGAUCGGCAUCAAGGGCCAUUCACCGUGCAAUCGUUGACAGAGAAGGGUGUGGCAAGUGUCAAUAUCUCUGGGAAAAUCAGAAAGAUGAAUGUGUCACGGCUGAGGCCCUACUUUCGGCCACAAGACCACAGCUCAAAGGGCAGCCGUGAUGCUGUGCUGGUGGACCACCUGUAUGCCAGGGCAGCUCCACCACCAGCAGCAGCUCCACCAC